UCUGCAUCUCCAGGAGGUGAGAUGGCAGCUGGGCAAAAUGGGCACGAAGAGUGGGUGGGCAGUGCAUACCUGUUUGUGGAGUCCUCGCUGGACAAGGUGGUCCUGUCGGAUGCCUACGCGCACCCCCAGCAGAAGGUGGCAGUGUACAGGGCUCUGCAGGCUGCCUUGGCAGCACUCCUUGCUCAAGACCCCUCCCCAGUACCUACCCUUCCAGGCCCCCCUUUCCCAUCUCAGGGCAGAGGCCACAGGAGGCUGAAGUGGGUUGGGGGAUCUGUUCGUGGCCUCAGAGCGGCGAAAGCCCCUCUUCUUCCCGAGCAGUGGGAGCCGCGCUUGGUGGAGGCUGAAGACCUGAGACCUCCCGCCCUUCUCUGCCCUGCUGGCCGCCUACCCAGACGGCUUGUUUGCCCAGGGCACACGCCCCCUUUUCUGUGCUUCGAAGUCCCUCUCUUUUGCCAACCCUCAUUUGGGGCAUGAGAGCAGGGGCUAGGUGGCACCCACUCUGUCUUGGGGUGCUCCCUGUGACAGGUCCUGUUCUUCUUUCUGGGUUAUUGCUGUUUGUAUCCCAAUUUUGCUUCCCAGCUGGGUACUCUGGGGUAACUGCACCCUAGGUCAGGGGAUGGGACGCGGGGCUUCACCACGGGCUUCGCCCCUCCUCCGGCCAUUUGAAGAACGGCCGAGCUUGGGGACCGCCCGGCGCCUGACCGCCCGCCUCCGCAGAGAGCGGCGGGAGCCCGGACGUGCUGCAGAUGCUGAAGAUCCACCGCAGCGACCCGCAGCUGAUCGUGCAGCUGCGAUUCUGCGGGCGGCAGCCCUGUGGCCGUUUCCUCCGCGCC
RNAcentral lists this small RNA (833 nucleotides) under Pongo abelii (Sumatran orangutan). RNAcentral's name for it is "retained intron". Lineage: Eukaryota; Metazoa; Chordata; Mammalia; Primates; Hominidae. The record is from RNAcentral.